Molecule: long non-coding RNA, 277 nt
Organism: Cyprinodon tularosa
Lineage: Eukaryota; Metazoa; Chordata; Actinopteri; Cyprinodontiformes; Cyprinodontidae
Exons: 3
Source: RefSeq, a predicted model, not a curated record
AGACAUCUGCAUUUUCCUACAGACUGCAUUUGCAGCUUGAUGUGAAAGGAACAAUAUUUGACCAAAGCAGAACAACCCAUCAUUUUGCCUUAAGAUCAGGAUGGAGAACACCUUAUUCAGUCUGCGGUGCUUAAUGUUGUUGAACACUCUCCUCUGCUGCGGACUAACUCAAGAUGCUGUGCUGACAAUUCAGCCCAACUGGUCGACAUUUUAUAGAGGAGAGUCUGUUACUUUCAUCUGUGACAUGAAUGAAGGAAAAGAAACUGACUGGGAUUAC